RNAcentral lists this long non-coding RNA (352 nucleotides) under Canis lupus familiaris (dog). RNAcentral describes it as "lncRNA (ENSCAFG00845004412.1)". The record is from RNAcentral. Lineage: Eukaryota; Metazoa; Chordata; Mammalia; Carnivora; Canidae.
AGAUAGGUCAGUAAAGGUAAGACUUGCCCAGAUAAUCAGCUAAAAUCUCGGUGACAUUUUUAUAGAGUCACAGACUAUUGGAAGAACUGGAAUAGGAACACCUUGGACUUCUUCAGACCAGUAUUCUCAGAAUGUGUUCCAUGGACCAUCUGCAUUAGCCUCAUCAAUGAAGCUUACUACUCAAGAGGGAGGAACUCAGUUUACAUUCUCCAUAAAUAGAACAUGUUUGUCACCUGGAACAAAGAGCAGCAGUUUCUACAGGGUAAGAGGCAAGUGCUUAGACCAGACACCUCCUCCUGGCCCUUCCUCAAGCUCUCACUCCAUGGAAAAAACCUGUUCCUUCCUUACCCUC